This is a non-coding RNA of Dipodomys ordii (Ord's kangaroo rat), 65 nucleotides long. The record is from Rfam. Lineage: Eukaryota; Metazoa; Chordata; Mammalia; Rodentia; Heteromyidae.
GGUGGCUCAGUGGUAAAGUGCUUGCCUUGCAUGCAUGAAGCCCUGGGUUCGAUUCCUCAGCACCA